AUAUCAGAUUUCACAUUAAAAGCACUUUCAUCUGCUCAAUGGCAUUGCUGAUGAAAUGCUGUUAAACUAAUAGAUUUGGUUUAGACAAGGUAAAAGAUGCACUGAAAGAAUUCUGUAAAGCCACAAAAGAUCCUGAAAGAGUGAGCUGUAGUCUUGGAGUGAAAUAAUAUUAAUUUUGAAUUUUCAGUCACUAUACACUAUGAACUAUUGUUCACUGCUCUUAACAUUACAAAAAAUCAAAGUCAUCUAAAUUUGUCUAAUUUAAGAGGAUCAAAAUAUAUACGUAUUUUUGACUUUUAAAAUAGUUUUUAUUUUUAUUUUUAAAAUGAUUUUUUUUCCAUUAUAGCUGGUUUACAGUGUUCUGUCAAUUGUCUACUGUACAGCAAAGUGAACCAGUCACACAUACAUAGAGACAUUCUUUUUCUCACAUUAUCCUCCAUCAUGCUCCAGCAUAAGUAACUAGUUCCUAGUUUUAUACAAAAUAGCAUUCCAAUAAAAUAUAAAGGAUGAGAACAAUGAAACAAAAAUAUUUUGCAUGACUAAGAAGAAGAAAUUCACAUACAAAUAAUCCCAAACUAACUUGUUUGCAAACUAUUUUUUGGCCACUUUAGGUCAAAGUAUAGUCUUGAUUGAGGGAGGUCAGAACAAAUUGACCCACAUACUGCUUUUAGGGAAGUGUCCUCAUAAUAUUCCAGAAUCAAAAGAGAAAGAAAAAUUCAAGAAAUACUGUUAUAUUCCAGAUAUUGCUUUAAAAGAUAAUGAAAACUGCCAUGUAAGGGAUAUUUACAUAAUAAAUUUAUUUAAUAAAAUGAAGACAUUUUGUAAUAUUUUCUUUAAUAACUAAUUACAUGUGACCCCAAGAGUAGUUGAAUGUAAUAGAUAAAAUGCAGAUUUUUUUCUGAAUGUAAGCGUUGCUUUAAAAAGCCUUGUUGAUAAUCAGGUGCUACCCCUUCUCAGAACAGAAUUUCUUCAGAUUGAAAUUAAAAACUCUGAGUUAACAGUGACUCAAGAAAGCUUGUCUAACUUGACAUUACUGACAAUAGAAAAUGAAUUAUAUUAAGAAUCUUGAUUACAGAGAGUAAAUUUUAAGUAUUCUCAUCACACACACACACCCAAAACUAUGUGAGGUGAUGGAUGGGUUAAUAAUUUGAUUGUGGUGAUCAUUUCACAGUGCAUUCGUGUAUCAUCAUUUUGUAUGCUUUAAAGAUGUAAAAUACUGGAGUUCCUGUCGUGGCUCAGUGGUUAACAAAUCUGACUAGGAACCGUGAGGUUACAGGUUCAAUCCCUGGCCUUGCUCAGUGGGUUAAGGAUCCAGCAUUGCCGUGAGCUGUGGUGUAGGUCAAAGACGAGGCCCUGAGCUGCUGUGGCUCUGGCAUAGGCUGGUGGCUACAGCUCCGAUUAGACUCCUAGCUGGGGAUCCUCCAUACGCUGUGGGACCAGCACU
This 1444-nucleotide long non-coding RNA is filed under the name Sus scrofa (pig). RNAcentral describes it as "lncRNA (ENSSSCG00005040480.1)". The record is from RNAcentral. Lineage: Eukaryota; Metazoa; Chordata; Mammalia; Artiodactyla; Suidae.